This is a long non-coding RNA of Asparagus officinalis (garden asparagus), 575 nucleotides long. RefSeq lists it as uncharacterized. The record is from RefSeq and is a predicted model, not a curated record. The transcript has 2 exons. Lineage: Eukaryota; Viridiplantae; Streptophyta; Magnoliopsida; Asparagales; Asparagaceae.
CAAAUUUGGUUAAUUAAUCUUCCCUUUGCUUCUUUUUUUCUUUUUAAUUAACAACAAUGAUAAGCUUGUUUCAGUUUUUAUUGUUUGCCUCCAAGGUUUCUUUCGGAAUUCUUGUGGUCGGGGAUGAGCAAGACGCACAUAAAUUUAGUUUUGAGUUUUAAAGUUUUUUAGUAAUGUCUUACGGUACGACAUGGGAAUCUAACGACUGGUGACUAACUUUCUUUUGCAGUAUGGAAAAUAUUCUUGAACGAUAUGAACGUUAUACAUAUGCAGAAAGGGCACUUACCACGACAAAUCUUGAAUCACAGGUGUUUGGUAUAUUGUGUAUGAGAGGAAUUUGUGCCUUGACAUCAUGGAUAACGCGCCACAAUGCCUACUCUUCAAAGCCUGCCUUCUGUUUGUAUGGCAAUGUAUGCCAGCCUCGAUUAUUUGAAUUUGGAAUUGAAUGUAGCACUCGUAAACUUAUAUGCUUGGGUCUGCAAUUCUAUCCUUUUCUUUUCGUUUAUUUCCCUUGUUAUGUAAUGCUUAGAAGAACAUAUAUUGUUAUUAAUAUAAUCGAAAAACUUGGUAUGUAA